Molecule: ribosomal RNA, 350 nt
Filed under: uncultured Pelotomaculum sp.
Lineage: Bacteria; Bacillati; Bacillota; Clostridia; Eubacteriales; Desulfotomaculaceae
Description: bacterial SSU rRNA
Rfam family: Bacterial small subunit ribosomal RNA
Source: RNAcentral
ACAGGUGGUGCAUGGUUGUCGUCAGCUCGUGUCGUGAGAUGUUCGGGUUAAGUCCCGCAACGAGCGCAACCCCUACGUUUAGUUGCUAACGCGUGAAGGCGAGCACUCUAGACGAACUGCCGUUGACAAAACGGAGGAAGGUGGGGAUGACGUCAAAUCAUCAUGCCCCUUAUGUUCUGGGCUACACACGUGCUACAAUGGCCGGUACAGACGGACGCAAAGCCGCGAGGUGGAGCAAAUCCUAAAAAGCCGGUCUCAGUUCGGAUUGCAGGCUGCAAUUCGCCUGCAUGAAGUCGGAAUCGCUAGUAAUCGCAGGUCAGCAUACUGCGGUGAAUACGUUCCCGGGCCUU